Molecule: ribosomal RNA, 834 nt
Filed under: archaeon enrichment culture
Lineage: Archaea
Description: bacterial SSU rRNA
Rfam family: Archaeal small subunit ribosomal RNA
Source: RNAcentral
GCGGCCACUGCUAUCAAGUUCCGACUAAGCCGUGCGAGUCAAGGUAUCGUAAGAUGCCGGCAAACUGCUCAGUAACACGUGGAUAAUCUAACCUUGAGUAAGGGAUAACUUCGGGAAACUGAAGGUAAUACCUUAUAAUUGCUUAAAACUGGAAUGUUUUUGCAAUAAAAGUUACGACGCUCAAGGAUGAGUCUGCGACCUAUCAGGUAGUAGGUGGUGUAAUGGACCACCUAGCCUCAGACGGGUACGGGCCCUGGGAGGGGUAGCCCGGAGAUGGACUCUGAGACAUAAGUCCAGGCCCUACGGGGCGCAGCAGGCGCGAACACUGUGCAAUGCGCGAAAGCGCGACACGGGGAGCUUGAGUGUCUUGGCAUAGCCAAGACUUUUCUCAUUCCUAAAAAGCAUGAGGAAUAAGUGCUGGGUAAGACGGGUGCCAGCCGCCGCGGUAACACCCGCAGCACGAGUAGUGGUCACUUUUAUUGAGCCUAAAGCGUUCGUAGCCGGUUUUGUAAAUCUUCAGAUAAAGCCUGAAGCUUAACUCCAGAAAGUCUGAAGAGACUGCAAGACUUGAGAUCGGGUGAGGUUAAACGUACUUUCAGGGUAGGGGUAAAAUCCUGUAAUCCCGGAAGGACGACCAGUGGCGAAAGCGUUUAACUAGAACGAAUCUGACGGUAAGGAACGAAGGCUAGGGUAGCAAACCGGAUUAGAUACCCGGGUAGUCCUAGCUGUAAACAUUGCCCAUUUGAUGUUGCUUUUCCGUUGAGGGAAGGCAGUGUCGGAGCGAAGGUGUUAAAUGGGCCGCUUGGGAAGUAUGGUCGCAAGACUGAAACUUAA